This 85-nucleotide transfer RNA is filed under the name Candidatus Paraimprobicoccus trichonymphae. RNAcentral describes it as "tRNA-Leu". It matches the Rfam family "tRNA". From Rfam's summary of the family: Transfer RNA (tRNA) molecules are approximately 80 nucleotides in length. Their secondary structure includes four short double-helical elements and three loops (D, anti-codon, and T loops). The record is from RNAcentral. Lineage: Bacteria; Bacillati; Bacillota; Clostridia.
GCGAGUGUGCUGGAAUUGGUAGACAGGCACGUUUGAGGGGCGUGUGUCGCAAGACGCGUGAGUUCGAAUCUCAUCACUCGCACCA